This 522-nucleotide ribosomal RNA is filed under the name uncultured bacterium. Its description in RNAcentral is "bacterial SSU rRNA". It matches the Rfam family "Bacterial small subunit ribosomal RNA", at positions 8 to 525 of the family's 1533-position model. The record is from RNAcentral.
AGAGUUUGAUCCUGGCUCAGAUUGAACGCUGGCGGCAUGCCUUACACAUGCAAGUCGAACGGCAGCACGGGAGCAAUCCUGGUGGCGAGUGGCGAACGGGUGAGUAAUACAUCGGAACGUGCCCGAUCGUGGGGGAUAACGCAGCGAAAGCUGUGCUAAUACCGCAUACGAUCUACGGAUGAAAGCGGGGGAUCGCAAGACCUCGCGCGGACGGAGCGGCCGAUGGCAGAUUAGGUAGUUGGUGGGAUAAAAGCUUACCAAGCCGACGAUCUGUAGCUGGUCUGAGAGGACGACCAGCCACACUGGGACUGAGACACGGCCCAGACUCCUACGGGAGGCAGCAGUGGGGAAUUUUGGACAAUGGGCGCAAGCCUGAUCCAGCCAUGCCGCGUGCAGGAUGAAGGCCUUCGGGUUGUAAACUGCUUUUGUACGGAACGAAAAAGCUCUCUCUAAUACAGGGGGUGAAUGACGGUACCGUAAGAAUAAGCACCGGCUAACUACGUGCCAGCAGCCGCGGUAAUA